Molecule: non-coding RNA, 81 nt
Organism: Desmophyllum pertusum
Lineage: Eukaryota; Metazoa; Cnidaria; Anthozoa; Scleractinia; Caryophylliidae
Source: the annotation of a GenBank genome assembly
GGAAUUGUGGCCGAGUGGUUUAAGGUGCUGAUCUUGAAAUCUGGAGAUCCAGAGUUCCCGGGUUCAAACCCUCAAUUGCCA